GUGAGACACGAGCGUUCAUUUGUAGUGGAGACGCUGCGCAAGUAACACCGUGCGUCUUCUCAUGGGUUUUAUUAAGUUUAUAAGUUUUGUGCUGGUUUGGUGUUAUCGUUGUCGUGGUGUUGCUGUUAGUCGUGAAGGCAGAACCAUUCGAUUGUGUUGAACGACACGGCUGCCGAGAAGGCAUGGAACACACACCUAGGCCAGAGUUGUUCCAGCGCUAGCAAGUGAGAACGGUGAUCGGUGAUCUGGAACUGUUGGCCUGCCGUGUAGUGAUGUGACGUGCUGGUGCUGCUGCUGGUGCUGCUGCUGCGUGAAUGCGAGCUGCUGUCACUGUUGAAGGGAGUGUCGCCGCUUAUCUCCAUCCUGCUCCAGGAAACGGACUGGUGCUGCACUGGGACACAUAGAUGCUAUCUCCUGCCUUGCAUCACCUUCUAGGGAGGGACUGCACCUCACACCUCAUUGCCCUGCCAGUAGCUCCAUGUUGCUGUAGAGAGGAAGCUUACCAUGCAGGAAGGACAGAAUUUAUUUAUUUUUUGUGUAAGUGUAAACUGGCCAAGGGCAACAAAAUAAAGGUUUACUUGAUUGCCAGAUUUCAUAAGUUCAACAGUUCGCCAAAAGACUAGUUAGCAGAAGAUGGGAACAAAUAUAUGAAGAUGGAAAUACAGAAGCAGGCAUGGAGUUCCAGAGUUGACUGUUUUUGCCAACAGCUAGUUGCUUCCUACCUGGAGAGAAGAGACUUAAGCUGUGUACUGCUGAUUUGAUGUUAUUUCCUUUGUCUGAAUAUACCUGUGAGCUGUGGUUCCAGUACUCAUUAAUAAAUUGAGAUUGAUUU
Molecule: long non-coding RNA, 832 nt
Organism: Portunus trituberculatus (swimming crab)
Lineage: Eukaryota; Metazoa; Arthropoda; Malacostraca; Decapoda; Portunidae
Exons: 3
Source: RefSeq, a predicted model, not a curated record